Molecule: ribosomal RNA, 2925 nt
Filed under: Staphylococcus aureus
Lineage: Bacteria; Bacillati; Bacillota; Bacilli; Caryophanales; Staphylococcaceae
Description: 23S ribosomal RNA
Rfam family: Bacterial large subunit ribosomal RNA
Source: RNAcentral
UUAAGUUAUUAAGGGCGUACGGUGGAUGCCUUGGCACUAGAAGCCGAUGAAGGACGUUACUAACGACGAUAUGCUUUGGGGAGCUGUAAGUAAGCUUUGAUCCAGAGAUUUCCGAAUGGGGAAACCCAGCAUGAGUUAUGUCAUGUUAUCGAUAUGUGAAUACAUAGCAUAUCAGAAGGCACACCCGGAGAACUGAAACAUCUUAGUACCCGGAGGAAGAGAAAGAAAAUUCGAUUCCCUUAGUAGCGGCGAGCGAAACGGGAAGAGCCCAAACCAACAAGCUUGCUUGUUGGGGUUGUAGGACACUCUGUACGGAGUUACAAAGGACGACAUUAGACGAAUCAUCUGGAAAGAUGAAUCAAAGAAGGUAAUAAUCCUGUAGUCGAAAAUGUUGUCUCUCUUGAGUGGAUCCUGAGUACGACGGAGCACGUGAAAUUCCGUCGGAAUCUGGGAGGACCAUCUCCUAAGGCUAAAUACUCUCUAGUGACCGAUAGUGAACCAGUACCGUGAGGGAAAGGUGAAAAGCACCCCGGAAGGGGAGUGAAAUAGAACCUGAAACCGUGUGCUUACAAGUAGUCAGAGCCCGUUAAUGGGUGAUGGCGUGCCUUUUGUAGAAUGAACCGGCGAGUUACGAUUUGAUGCAAGGUUAAGCAGUAAAUGUGGAGCCGUAGCGAAAGCGAGUCUGAAUAGGGCGUUUAGUAUUUGGUCGUAGACCCGAAACCAGGUGAUCUACCCUUGGUCAGGUUGAAGUUCAGGUAACACUGAAUGGAGGACCGAACCGACUUACGUUGAAAAGUGAGCGGAUGAACUGAGGGUAGCGGAGAAAUUCCAAUCGAACCUGGAGAUAGCUGGUUCUCUCCGAAAUAGCUUUAGGGCUAGCCUCAAGUGAUGAUUAUUGGAGGUAGAGCACUGUUUGGACGAGGGGCCCCUCUCGGGUUACCGAAUUCAGACAAACUCCGAAUGCCAAUUAAUUUAACUUGGGAGUCAGAACAUGGGUGAUAAGGUCCGUGUUCGAAAGGGAAACAGCCCAGACCACCAGCUAAGGUCCCAAAAUAUAUGUUAAGUGGAAAAGGAUGUGGCGUUGCCCAGACAACUAGGAUGUUGGCUUAGAAGCAGCCAUCAUUUAAAGAGUGCGUAAUAGCUCACUAGUCGAGUGACACUGCGCCGAAAAUGUACCGGGGCUAAACAUAUUACCGAAGCUGUGGAUUGUCCUUUGGACAAUGGUAGGAGAGCGUUCUAAGGGCGUUGAAGCAUGAUCGUAAGGACAUGUGGAGCGCUUAGAAGUGAGAAUGCCGGUGUGAGUAGCGAAAGACGGGUGAGAAUCCCGUCCACCGAUUGACUAAGGUUUCCAGAGGAAGGCUCGUCCGCUCUGGGUUAGUCGGGUCCUAAGCUGAGGCCGACAGGCGUAGGCGAUGGAUAACAGGUUGAUAUUCCUGUACCACCUAUAAUCGUUUUAAUCGAUGGGGGGACGCAGUAGGAUAGGCGAAGCGUGCGAUUGGAUUGCACGUCUAAGCAGUAAGGCUGAGUAUUAGGCAAAUCCGGUACUCGUUAAGGCUGAGCUGUGAUGGGGAGAAGACAUUGNNNGUCUUCGAGUCGUUGAUUUCACACUGCCGAGAAAAGCCUCUAGAUAGAAAAUAGGUGCCCGUACCGCAAACCGACACAGGUAGUCAAGAUGAGAAUUCUAAGGUGAGCGAGCGAACUCUCGUUAAGGAACUCGGCAAAAUGACCCCGUAACUUCGGGAGAAGGGGUGCUCUUUAGGGUUAACGCCCAGAAGAGCCGCAGUGAAUAGGCCCAAGCGACUGUUUAUCAAAAACACAGGUCUCUGCUAAACCGUAAGGUGAUGUAUAGGGGCUGACGCCUGCCCGGUGCUGGAAGGUUAAGAGGAGUGGUUAGCUUCUGCGAAGCUACGAAUCGAAGCCCCAGUAAACGGCGGCCGUAACUAUAACGGUCCUAAGGUAGCGAAAUUCCUUGUCGGGUAAGUUCCGACCCGCACGAAAGGCGUAACGAUUUGGGCACUGUCUCAACGAGAGACUCGGUGAAAUCAUAGUACCUGUGAAGAUGCAGGUUACCCGCGACAGGACGGAAAGACCCCGUGGAGCUUUACUGUAGCCUGAUAUUGAAAUUCGGCACAGCUUGUACAGGAUAGGUAGGAGCCUUUGAAACGUGAGCGCUAGCUUACGUGGAGGCGCUGGUGGGAUACUACCCUAGCUGUGUUGGCUUUCUAACCCGCACCACUUAUCGUGGUGGGAGACAGUGUCANNNGCGGGCAGUUUGACUGGGGCGGUCGCCUCCUAAAAGGUAACGGAGGCGCUCAAAGGUUCCCUCAGAAUGGUUGGAAAUCAUUCAUAGAGUGUAAAGGCAUAAGGGAGCUUGACUGCGAGACCUACAAGUCGAGCAGGGUCGAAAGACGGACUUAGUGAUCCGGUGGUUCCGCAUGGAAGGGCCAUCGCUCAACGGAUAAAAGCUACCCCGGGGAUAACAGGCUUAUCUCCCCCAAGAGUUCACAUCGACGGGGAGGUUUGGCACCUCGAUGUCGGCUCAUCGCAUCCUGGGGCUGUAGUCGGUCCCAAGGGUUGGGCUGUUCGCCCAUUAAAGCGGUACGCGAGCUGGGUUCAGAACGUCGUGAGACAGUUCGGUCCCUAUCCGUCGUGGGCGUAGGAAAUUUGAGAGGAGCUGUCCUUAGUACGAGAGGACCGGGAUGGACAUACCUCUGGUGUACCAGUUGUCGUGCCAACGGCAUAGCUGGGUAGCUAUGUGUGGACGGGAUAAGUGCUGAAAGCAUCUAAGCAUGAAGCCCCCCUCAAGAUGAGAUUUCCCAACUUCGGUUAUAAGAUCCCUCAAAGAUGAUGAGGUUAAUAGGUUCGAGGUGGAAGCAUGGUGACAUGUGGAGCUGACGAAUACUAAUCGAUCGAAGACUUAAUCAA